Molecule: ribosomal RNA, 257 nt
Filed under: uncultured bacterium
Lineage: Bacteria
Description: partial 16S ribosomal RNA
Rfam family: Bacterial small subunit ribosomal RNA
Source: RNAcentral
UACGUAGGGCGCAAGCGUUAUCCGGAAUUAUUGGGCGUAAAGAGCUCGUAGGCGGUUUGUCGCGUCUGCCGUGAAAGUCCGGGGCUCAACUCCGGAUCUGCGGUGGGUACGGGGCAGACUAGAGUGAUGUAGGGGGAGACUGGAAUUCCUGGUGUAGCGGUGAAAUGCGCAGAUAUCAGGAGGAACACCGAUGGCGAAGGCAGGUCUCUGGGCAUUAACUGACGCUGAGGAGCGAAAAGCAUGGGGGAGCGAACAGG